AUGAACGCUGGCGGCGUGCCUAAUACAUGCAAGUCGAGCGAACGGACGAGAAGCUUGCUUCUCUGAUGUUAGCGGCGGACGGGUGAGUAACACGUGGAUAACCUACCUAUAAGACUGGGAUAACUUCGGGAAACCGUAGCUAAUACCGGAUAAUAUUUUGAACCGCAUGGUUCAAAAGUGAAAGACGGUCUUGCUGUCACUUAUAGAUGGAUCCGCGCUGCAUUAGCUAGUUGGUAAGGUAACGGCUUACCAAGGCAACGAUGCAUAGCCGACCUGAGAGGGUAGUCGGCCACACUGGACCUGAGACACGGUCCAGACUCCUACGGGGGGCAGCAGUAGGGAAUCUUCCGCAAUGGGCGAAAGCCUGACGGAGCAACGCCGCGUGAGUGAUGAAGGUCUUCGGAUCGUAAAACUCUGUUAUUAGGGAAGAACAUAUGUGUAAGUAACUGUGCACAUCUUGACGGUACCUAAUCAGAAAGCCACGGCUAACUACGU
RNAcentral lists this ribosomal RNA (495 nucleotides) under uncultured bacterium. RNAcentral's name for it is "partial 16S ribosomal RNA". It matches the Rfam family "Bacterial small subunit ribosomal RNA", at positions 29 to 506 of the family's 1533-position model. The record is from RNAcentral.